This 228-nucleotide long non-coding RNA is filed under the name Sinocyclocheilus anshuiensis. RNAcentral's name for it is "lncRNA (ENSSANG00000047321.1)". Lineage: Eukaryota; Metazoa; Chordata; Actinopteri; Cypriniformes; Cyprinidae. The record is from RNAcentral.
UAAAGCCAACAAACCUGGAAUCAACCUUCUGCACUUUGUUGCUCUGGAAGCUCAGAAGAAAGAUCUGCUCAUGUUUCCAGAGAAACUUCAGCAUGUUCAGCAAGCAGUGCGAGUGUGUGUUGACAGCAUCCAUGAUGAGUUUCACACUCUGACCAGAAGAGUUCAUCAGUUACAGCAAACCAUCCACUCAGAUGAUGAGCUCCUGACGCAGCUGCAGUCCUUCCUACA